RNAcentral lists this small RNA (1031 nucleotides) under Pan troglodytes (chimpanzee). RNAcentral's name for it is "retained intron". Lineage: Eukaryota; Metazoa; Chordata; Mammalia; Primates; Hominidae. The record is from RNAcentral.
GAGGUAGCAACAGCGAGCGUGCCGGUCGCUAGUCGCGGGUCCCCGAGUGAGCGCGCCAGGGAGCAGGAGACCAAGCGACGGGAGUCGGAGUCAGAGUCGCAGUGGGAGUCCCCGGACCGGAGCACGAGCCUGAGCGGGAGAGCGCCGCUUGCACGCCCGUCGCCACCCGCGUACCCGGCGCAGCCAGAGCCACCAGCGCAGCGCUGCCAUGGAGCCCAGCAGCAAGAAGCUGACGGGUCGCCUCAUGCUGGCCGUGGGAGGAGCAGUGCUUGGCUCCCUGCAGUUUGGCUACAACACUGGAGUCAUCAAUGCCCCCCAGAAGGUGAUCGAGGAGUUCUACAACCAGACAUGGGUCCACCGCUAUAGGGAGAGCAUCCUGCCCACCACGCUCACCACGCUCUGGUCCCUCUCAGUGGCCAUCUUUUCUGUUGGGGGCAUGAUUGGCUCCUUCUCUGUGGGCCUUUUCGUUAACCGCUUUGGCCGGCGGAAUUCAAUGCUGAUGAUGAACCUGCUGGCCUUCGUGUCCGCCGUGCUCAUGGGCUUCUCGAAACUGGGCAAGUCCUUUGAGAUGCUGAUCCUGGGCCGCUUCAUCAUCGGUGUGUACUGCGGCCUGACCACAGGCUUCGUGCCCAUGUAUGUGGGUGAAGUGUCACCCACAGCCCUUCGUGGGGCCCUGGGCACCCUGCACCAGCUGGGCAUCGUCGUCGGCAUCCUCAUCGCCCAGGUAAGCUGGGGCAGGAUCUACCUGCCUGGCACGGCCCCUGCCCACAGCUUCAGUGGCUCUCGGAUCUGUGCCCAGCAGGGCAGAGUUUCUCUUCCACCCAGCCCCCACAGCCUUGCAGAGGACAACUAUGGUACACAGGUCCAGAGAACACAGCACCAUGGCCUCCCAGUUGACAGCAAGAUGACUUGACUCUUCUCAGUCCCUUUCUUCUCACUCUAGGCCUCCAACCACAGGGCCCGCCUUCCCCCAACAUGCCGCAGGCUGUUAUGCACAGUACCCUCUCUCCAGGAGGCUUCCCCUUCCCUGU